GGGUCAGUAGGUUGGUCGUGCCACCGGUACGUACUGGUCUCACUGAUUCCUCCUUCCUGAAGAACCGUGAUGCCAUUAAUUUGGUGUUGCGGGGAAACAGGACUGUUACUUUGAAAAAAUUAGAGUGUUUAAAGCAAGCUAACGCUUGAAUACAUUAGCAUGGAAUGAUGAAAUAGGACGAUCGAUCCUAUUUUGUUGGUUUCUAGGAUUGACGUA
Molecule: ribosomal RNA, 216 nt
Filed under: Glomeromycotina sp.
Lineage: Eukaryota; Fungi; Glomeromycota
Description: partial small subunit ribosomal RNA
Rfam family: Eukaryotic small subunit ribosomal RNA (bases 40-216)
Source: RNAcentral